GUUUAAAUAGCUUAUAUUUAGAGCAUAACAUUGAAGCUGUUACAGAGAUUAUUGUAAUCUUUAAACA
RNAcentral lists this transfer RNA (67 nucleotides) under Hilara sp. YD3011. RNAcentral's name for it is "tRNA-Phe". The record is from RNAcentral. Lineage: Eukaryota; Metazoa; Arthropoda; Insecta; Diptera; Empididae.